CUCUCUGCGGAAGCCAGCCACCGCUCUCCAAGGACUCUCGAGCAGCUCCAUCUACAGAUUCACAUGGAGAAGAAUUAAGGGUUCCUGCCAAUCACCAGCACCACUUUGCCAGCCUUGUAAGUGGGCCACCUUGGAAUUGGAGCCUCCAGUUCCUACUGACAUCUGACUGCAACAUCAUGAGAGACCCUGAGUUUGAACCACCCAGCUGAGCUGCUUCUGAGCUAACCCACUGAAACCGUGAAAGUACCUGAAUGAAACAACACCCAGUAGCCACUAGCACACCUAGCUCCCAGAUCUGUUUUUGAUGCCAUUCUUCAGUAAAAGGAAGCAAGGCUGCUUGGAGAAAUUGCUAUCAAGGACUGGGGUAGAAAAUAUACAAGAUGAAAUUGGAGCAUCUUGUAGUGCUUGAAAACAGUUGGCAUCUGUGUGAAGAUGUGAAUGGAGGAGGCAGAGUAGGCAGUGAGUGCCGCAGCCACAGCUUGUGUUCUCUGCAGCCCUGGCACAGAAGAUAGGAACACUCAUGGGGGAUGCGGCCACUGUGAUGUCUUCCCACACAAGAAGUGCCAAGUGCUUUUCUCAUGCUUUUCUGGAUUGUCCCAUGGUGGACGAGUCAGCAGGAGUGAGAUGGAGCAGCACAGUAGAGGGGCCAGGAUAUCGUUGUACAUAUUCUCAGCUAAGUGAGCACCAAUAGAGGAGAGGGAGAGUCUCAUGGAAGUUCCUUCUAAGCCUUUGGCUCUUUUUACCUUCAACAAGGUUCCUUAGAUCCUGGGAUGAGGAGGUGGACCAGCAGAAGGUGGGCUUGUGAAGGCAGCCCGGGGUCCAAAUCCUCCUGGCUCUUCAGCUUAGCGGGAUGUCACCUUCAGCGUCUGAAAGCUGGGUUUGAUGCGUCUGGAAAGGCGUCCCUGACAGGCGUCGUUGCCAGGAGCCCCUAGUGCCACCAGCAGCCAGCAGGGGAGGGCGUCCUCUGCCCGCUCACUUCUGACCCUUCUCUCGUUGCACCCGGAACAUGGUGCAGCUGGGAGCAGCCUGGGCUGCGCGGAAGGCUCAGAUUUGGGGACGGCCCUUGCCAGUGACUGUGAGCUGGGGUGUCUUGGAAACUCCCAGUCUCAGCUUCUCCAUUUAUAAGAUGAGAAUGAUCAUACCAGACUCAGGCAAGGUUGUUUGUGCAUUAGUGAAAUCAGACGUAUUAAAUAAAGUACCACAUUG
RNAcentral lists this long non-coding RNA (1206 nucleotides) under Homo sapiens (human). RNAcentral's name for it is "long intergenic non-protein coding RNA 658". The record is from RNAcentral. Lineage: Eukaryota; Metazoa; Chordata; Mammalia; Primates; Hominidae.